This 372-nucleotide ribosomal RNA is filed under the name uncultured organism. RNAcentral's name for it is "bacterial SSU rRNA". It matches the Rfam family "Bacterial small subunit ribosomal RNA", at positions 526 to 896 of the family's 1533-position model. The record is from RNAcentral.
CGGGGGGGGCAAGCGUUGUUCGGAAUUACUGGGCGUAAAGGGUGCGUAGGCGGCUUUCUAAGUUGGAUGUGAAAACUCUGGGCUCAACCCAGAGCCUGCAUCCAAAACUGGAGAGCUUGGGUACUGGAGGGGAAAGCGGAAUUCCUGGUGUAGCGGUGAAAUGCGUAGAUAUCAGGAGGAACACCGGUGGCGAAGGCGGCUUUCUGGACAGUUACCGACGCUGAGGCACGAAAGCUAGGGGAGCAAACAGGAUUAGAUACCCUGGUAGUCCUAGCCCUAAACGAUGGAUACUUGCUGUGAGGGGGAUUGAAACCCUUUGUGGCGAAGCUAACGCAUUAAGUAUCCCGCCUGGGGAGUACGGUCGCAAGGCUG